RNAcentral lists this ribosomal RNA (492 nucleotides) under uncultured bacterium. RNAcentral's name for it is "partial 16S ribosomal RNA". It matches the Rfam family "Bacterial small subunit ribosomal RNA", at positions 29 to 507 of the family's 1533-position model. The record is from RNAcentral.
AGUGAACGCUGGCGGUAGGCCUAACACAUGCAAGUCGAACGGCAGCACAGUAAGAGCUUGCUCUUACGGGUGGCGAGUGGCGGACGGGUGAGGAAUACAUCGGAAUCUACUUUUUCGUGGGGGAUAACGUAGGGAAACUUACGCUAAUACCUCAUACGACCUACGGGUGAAAGCAGGGGAUCUUCGGACCUUGCGCGAUUGAAUGAGCCGAUGUCGGAUUAGCUAGUUGGCGGGGUAAAGGCCCACCAAGGCGACGAUCCGUAGCUGGUCUGAGAGGAUGAUCAGCCACACUGGAACUGAGACACGGUCCAGACCCCUACGGGAGGCAGCAGUGGGGAAUAUUGGACAAUGGGCGCAAGCCUGAUCCAGCCAUACCGCGUGGGUGAAGAAGGCCUUCGGGUUGUAAAGCCCUUUUGUUGGGAAAGAAAAGCAGCAGGUUAAUACCCCACUGUUCUGACGGUACCCAAAGAAUAAGCACCGGCUAACUUCGUG